This 61-nucleotide transfer RNA is filed under the name Carpoglyphus lactis (prune mite). RNAcentral describes it as "tRNA-Lys". Lineage: Eukaryota; Metazoa; Arthropoda; Arachnida; Sarcoptiformes; Carpoglyphidae. The record is from RNAcentral.
AGAGUCUUAAGAUAAAAUAAUCUUUAUAUCUUUUAAAUAUAAAAAGCUUUUGCAGUCUCUC